GAUGAACGCUGGCGGCGUGCCUAAUACAUGCAAGUCGAGCGAACAGACGAGGAGCUUGCUCCUCUGACGUUAGCGGCGGACGGGUGAGUAACACGUGGAUAACCUACCUAUAAGACUGGGAUAACUUCGGGAAACCGGAGCUAAUACCGGAUAAUAUAUUGAACCGCAUGGUUCAAUAGUGAAAGACGGUUUUGCUGUCAAUUAUAGAUGGAUCCGCGCCGCAUUAGCUAGUUGGUAAGGUAACGGCUUACCAAGGCGACGAUGCGUAGCCGACCUGAGAGGGUGAUCGGCCACACUGGAACUGAGACACGGUCCAGACUCCUACGGGAGGCAGCAGUAGGGAAUCUUCCGCAAUGGGCGAAAGCUUGACGGAGCAACGCCGCGUGAGUGAUGAAGGUCUUCGGAUCGUAAAACUCUGUUAUUAGGGAAGAACAAAUGUGUAAGUAACUAUGCACGUCUUGACGGUACCUAAUCAGAAAGCCACGGCUAACUACGUG
Molecule: ribosomal RNA, 497 nt
Filed under: uncultured bacterium
Lineage: Bacteria
Description: partial 16S ribosomal RNA
Rfam family: Bacterial small subunit ribosomal RNA
Source: RNAcentral